Molecule: ribosomal RNA, 494 nt
Filed under: uncultured bacterium
Lineage: Bacteria
Description: partial 16S ribosomal RNA
Rfam family: Bacterial small subunit ribosomal RNA
Source: RNAcentral
GACGAACGCUGGCGGCGUGCCUAACACAUGCAAGUCGAACGGUCAAACGCCAUCCUUUCUGCUCGGAUUGGAUGAGCGGCCAACUGGUGAGUAACUCGUUAGUCACCUUAUAACACCUUCUGGACAACCGCAUGAAAGAGUUGCUAAUACGGAAUAUUCUGGACCUGUCGCUUCAAGAGUCUGGGACAGUUAUUGUUUCGGUGGUGGAUGGGCUCGCGGCCUAUCAGCUUGUUGGUGGGGUGAUGGCCUACCAAGGCGGUGAUGAGUAGCCGGCCUGAGAGGGUCGACGGUCACGGUGGGGCUGCGACACCGCCAAGACUACGACAGGCAGCAGCAGGGGAGAAUAUUGCACGAGGGGCAGAAUGAUGGUGCAGCGACGCGGCGUGAGUGAUGGAGUUCUGCGGGUUGUAAACCUCUAUCGGGAGAGAAGAUAGCCGGCAUUGUUUGUGCGUAGGUUGACGGUAGCUAGAUAGGAAGCGCCGGCUAACUACGUG